CAUAUGUGCGUGUGCUCCUGGGCAUGAGGUCCUCCUUUAGCAUCACCUUCCAGUUGGGACCUGCAGGGGCUCCUCUUCAUGUCCACCUGAGCAGGAGCUGGAACCCUGGGUUUGACCCACACGACCACCUGCAAAGCUUUGAGCCACGGGGUGCUUCCAGCCUGAGGAUACACUGAGGCGCACUGAGGAAGGAUCCACAGCCUGUCGUACAUUUGUGAUCUAUAUCCACUUAAUUAAAGGCUCAUUCAUGGCCUGGGUGCACACAGCCCUGCUGGGAUGUGAGCUGUCCUCCGUGUCAAAGGGCUCAGUGUUUUUCCAGGAUUUGAGGUAAUAACCAGAAGGUCAGUGGAGGAACGGGCUGUAAAGCCGCCGUUGGGAUCGUUUGGGAACCUCAGCAGCUUCUCCUGCCGUAAACAGCCAGAGACAAACAGCCUCCGCUGCCCAGAACCCACUCCUGGGAAUUCUUCUUUUUUAGGGCAUGUUUCCAUUUCCAUCCCUUGACCUUUCUCUGGUGCUCGCAGCAGCGCCUCGGCCCUGGGCAAGGCUCCCAGCACUGCCGCAGUUCAAGCAUCCAAUAGCGGGAGAAAGAAAUUCCCUCUGCAGGGGUGAGGGAGGCUGAGCUGCAGCUCCCGGCUUUGUAUAAAUCAGGGCGGUUUGAGAAGGGCCGGACGGGGCCGUUCAGUGGGGGCACGUCGGG
Long non-coding RNA from Gallus gallus (chicken), 697 nucleotides. Lineage: Eukaryota; Metazoa; Chordata; Aves; Galliformes; Phasianidae. The record is from Ensembl.